UUAUUAUGGAGAGUUUGAUCCUGGCUCAGGACGAACGCUGGCGGCGUGCCUAACACAUGCAAGUCGAACGGGGAUUUUGUUUCGGCAGAAUCCUAGUGGCGAACGGGUGAGUAACGCGUAGGCAACCUGCCCUCCGGCCGGGGACAACACUCCGAAAGGGGUGCUAAUACCGGAUACGAAGUCUGUGCCGCAUGGUACGGA
RNAcentral lists this ribosomal RNA (201 nucleotides) under Succiniclasticum ruminis. Its description in RNAcentral is "16S rRNA. Bacterial SSU". It matches the Rfam family "Bacterial small subunit ribosomal RNA", at positions 1 to 199 of the family's 1533-position model. Lineage: Bacteria; Bacillati; Bacillota; Negativicutes; Acidaminococcales; Acidaminococcaceae. The record is from RNAcentral.